RNAcentral lists this ribosomal RNA (251 nucleotides) under uncultured bacterium. RNAcentral describes it as "partial 16S ribosomal RNA". It matches the Rfam family "Bacterial small subunit ribosomal RNA", at positions 524 to 774 of the family's 1533-position model. The record is from RNAcentral.
UACGUAGGGGGCAAGCGUUAUCCGGAUUUACUGGGUGUAAAGGGAGCGUAGGCGGCCAUGCAAGUCAGAAGUGAAAGCCCGGGGCUCAACCCCGGGACUGCUUUUGAAACUGUAAGGCUAGAUUGCCGGAGAGGUAAGCGGAAUUCCUAGUGUAGCGGUGAAAUGCGUAGAUAUUAGGAGGAACACCAGUGGCGAAGGCGGCUUACUGGACGGUGAAUGACGCUGAGGCUCGAAAGCGUGGGGAGCAAACA